This 305-nucleotide ribosomal RNA is filed under the name uncultured bacterium. RNAcentral describes it as "bacterial SSU rRNA". It matches the Rfam family "Bacterial small subunit ribosomal RNA", at positions 337 to 660 of the family's 1533-position model. The record is from RNAcentral.
ACCUACGGGGCGCAGCAGUGGGGAAUAUUGCACAAUGGGGGAAACCCUGAUGCAGCGACGCCGCGUGAGCGAUGAAGUAUUUCGGUAUGUAAAGCUCUAUCAGCAGGGAAGAAAAUGACGGUACCUGACUAAGAAGCCCCGGCUAACUACGUGCCAGCAGCCGCGGUAAUACGUAGGGGGCAAGCGUUAUCCGGAUUUAUUGGGUUUAAAGGGUGCGUAGGCGGAUUUGUAAGUCAGCGGUAAAAAUGCGGUGCUCAACGCCGUAUCGCCGUUGAAACUGCAGGUCUUGAGUGAGCGAGAAGUAU